AAAAAAUGGAGAAAUCUUCACUCAAAUUGGCUCUCACGGUCAUCCUCGUGGUUUUUGCAUACUGUAAGUCUCUCCUAUCCAUUUAUGUUCAUUCCUAUUAACUUUAAAAGGUGACAUAUCACAUUUAUGCAUGCAUAUUUAAUAGUGAUUGAAUUAAUUGAUGCAUGUUGAAAAUGAUGUGCAGAUUCAGAUGAGAUGGUAGCUGAAGGGAGGUUCCGUGUAAUUUCAUUUCGAUGCAAGGAGGAUACAGACUGCAGCAUCAGCGUUUGUGGAAAAUGCAAAACUUGCAUUUGCAAAGAUACUUGGUGUGCGUGCAAAGAAGAUGAAUUCCCACCAGUCUCCGCCGUCGACCCCUUCUUGGGGCACCAAUAGGCACCAGAAGCAUGCCUAGCUCUUAUGAAGAUGGUGUAUUCAAUUAAUUAAUUAAGACUUUCGAAAGGUCCAACUUCUAAUACAAGAUUUAGAAA
Molecule: long non-coding RNA, 467 nt
Filed under: Citrus sinensis (sweet orange)
Lineage: Eukaryota; Viridiplantae; Streptophyta; Magnoliopsida; Sapindales; Rutaceae
Description: long non-coding RNA (CSIN_LNC002902)
Source: RNAcentral